Long non-coding RNA from Cebus imitator (Panamanian white-faced capuchin), 1909 nucleotides. RefSeq lists it as uncharacterized. The record is from RefSeq and is a predicted model, not a curated record. The transcript has 2 exons. Lineage: Eukaryota; Metazoa; Chordata; Mammalia; Primates; Cebidae.
GUAAGCGGGCUGUGCUUCCCCUACAGCUGCAAGCCCAGAGCGCGGCCCCUGCAGCCUGGUGGAGCUGGCCUUGCAGGAGGGGGUCGGGCCGAACCGCUCUCCCAGCUUCCCAAGCACGCCUGGGCGCUGUGCAGGGGGGGAAUAAUUAUUUCUCUUCCCUAGCCAUAAAAAAUGACCGGUCUAGUAUGCCCUUGCCAUUUUGCCAGGGCCCAAAAAAACAAGUCAAACCUGAUAGUUAAUAUUUUAAUGCUUAAAAACACUUGUAGAUCUGAUCGACUCCCGUCCGGCAAGCCCUCGGCCAUUAGCACCGAAUCCACGGCUGCUGAACAGUGGGUGCGUUAUUUCAAAUUGCUAUCUAGAGUUACCGAAAAAGAAAAAACAAAAGUCGUGUGUGUAAAUAAGGGGUAUGGGGACCAAACCGGAGAAGGUGUAAAAUGGCAAUCCCGGGAAGCCGGGCACAAACGCGUCUUGCGUCCAGAGAUUCGUAAUCCAGGCUUCUUAGAAGAGGGAGGGAGGGAUGAGGAGGAGGGGGUUCAGGGUGAGGGCAGGGGGCAGAGGCCGGUGGGGGAGGGGAUGAGCCGUCUUAACAAAUGUCAGGGUUGGGGCGCGGGACGGACGCUGCAGGAAGCGCCCCCGGAGCCCGGCACCCCGCGCUGCCCUGGGGCCCCCAAAGUUGGCUGGCCGGCGAUUGGCGACCCACUCCCUGGAAGGAGAGGCGCCCCGCCUCCCUCGGCCCCUGAACCUCCUUGAGCCCAAACGCCCUGGUCUCUGGCCCCCCCAGGGCCCACGAAGGGCCUACACGGAAGCUGGCGAGCGCAGACCCCGCCAUACAAACCAAGGCGCCAAAAUUCCUUAGAAAUACACAAGUCUGCUCCGAGGAAGCCAUCCGGCUGCACGCAAACCCAGAACCCGGGCUGCAGGGGCCUCCCCGCCCCGCUCUGCCCCGCUGCCCCGCGCGGCCCAGGAGAGCCCUCAGCCAGCGCACCAGGCAGCCGAGCCCGCCACGGCGCCCAGGGCGCUUGCGGCCCUGCGGGUUGCCAAAGAAAAGGGCUCCUCAGAGCCCCCAAGUUUGCGGUGGGACCAAUCUGGGAAGUGUGACCUUCCAGUGGAAGGAGGAAGGAGGGCCGAGAGCCCGCGAUCGCCACUAGAAAGCUAAAUACACAGCCGCCCGUUAAGAGAAAGCCAAGACGCCUCUCCAGAGCCCCCGGCUCUGCGCGCUCGCCAGUUCUCAAGUCCAACGCCUGGAGGAAACCCACUCUCUACCCCGGGCGUCGGGCGCAGCACAGUCACUCGGGGCCCGCAGCGGCAGCCAAGGGGUUAACCGGGAAAGCCCAAGACGCCACAGAAGAGGGAAGGAAGAGAAGGAGAGAGAGCAAAGAAAGAGCCACACAGUCAUCUUCCCAGGGUGAAGAAACAACCACCGCCACCAAAGGGGGAGGGGGAACCAGAGCGCAAAAGAAAAGUUCUUCGGACCCCCCCCCCCACAACAAAGCCCUGCUUGGACAGAGAGGUCUCCCCAACAUCACGAGGCAGCAAACUGAAAGCAAGAACGUGGCGAAGUGCAAACAAAUCCAGUCCACAAAAGGCAGAAAACAACAUUUGCCAAGCCCAGGAAACAGAUAAAAAAAACCCCACCAGCCCGAGGGGCUUUUCCUACCUCGGAAUCGGAGGAGCUGUUUUGAUUCGUUUCUGAUUCAUUGACUAGAGACGAUUUGACAUCAGCUAAAUCCCUCUCUGCCGAGGAGUUUUCGGAGCUCUUCUCCUCCUGUUCGCCCUCGUCUUUGAAGGAAAUCAGUUCGUCGUUGGCGCCUAGGUCAUCCCCUCCACCGCCGUUCAGCUGCGGCAUUUUUUUUCACCCACCAGCAGCAAUUUUGGAAGAAAAAUGAAGGAGGAAGAAAACCAAAAAAAA